UACGUAGGGUGCGAGCGUUGUCCGGAAUUAUUGGGUGUAAAGAGCUUGUAGGCGGUUUGUCGCGUCUGCUGUGAAAAUCCGGGGCUCAACCCCGGACUUGCAGUGGGUACGGGCAGACUAGAGUGUGGUAGGGGAGACUGGAAUUCCUGGUGUAGCGGUGAAAUGCGCAGAUAUCAGGAGGAACACCAAUGGCGAAGGCAGGUCUCUGGGCAGUUACUGACGCUGAGGAGCGAAAGCAUGGGUAGCGAACAGGAUUAGAUA
Molecule: ribosomal RNA, 261 nt
Filed under: uncultured prokaryote
Description: partial 16S ribosomal RNA
Rfam family: Bacterial small subunit ribosomal RNA
Source: RNAcentral